UGCGCGCACUCGUGCGUGUGUGUGUGUGUGUGUGCGUAUGAUGAAAACUAGCCUGCUCACGCAGGGCCGUGCCUCUGUUUCAUCAUCAGCUCCAGUCUUCUCUGUUUCGCUAGCUCAUACACUCCUCCUCUUUCUUAGCCAGAUGGCUCGAGUCGCUCACAAGGGGGAGAUUGGACUAUGAAAAAAGAUUGCUGCUGCAGCUUGCGUUCCUGCUGCAAGGGCCUCCUCUUCAGACGGCCUUUGCCAGAGCAGAACUUUUCAAAAUGCUACAAAUAGGAUCUUCUUUUUUUCCUCCUUUAUUUAAACCCUUCUCCUUUUUUUAAAAAUAACAAAAAAACCAAAAAAAAACGGGACUAAUUUUUCUUGUUUUCUGUGCUGUGCUUGGCUGUACAGUAUAUUGCAGUGUUGAGCUUAAAGCUACAAGUAUUUCUACCACCACCCCCGCUGAUCCAUUUUUUUUCUGCCUUGGUUAAAGAAAUUGGUGUAUUUGAGCAAUGAAUCAGGAUUUGCUAGUUUGUGUGCUGUGAGAAUGAUGGCUUUUAUUUGCGAUUUUUUCCCCUGAGUGCCAGUGCCCUGUGCUGCUCAUGGAAUCAGCUUCUUUCUUUCUUUCUGUAUAUUUUUUAAUUGCUUCAGGUAUCUGUGCCACAUGAACAAGGAUGGAUGGUAGCCCUCCAACCCCCUUAUAAUCUGACCGUGGCUGAAAUGGAAAUACUGCGGGGCUUUUUUGUCCUUGCAGGGUCCCUCCCCUCCCUUUCUUUCACUGUUUAGGAGGGAAAAGGGGUGUGCGGUAAAAUGCUGUCUCUGGGACAGGUGCCAGCUCCAAGACAAAAGGAAUAAAAUAGGCAGUAAAUGGGGAAAAUUAAUAGUCAAUAAAAAUAGGAAUUGGAAAUGUGUAAGCGGCAACAUUGGUAAAAGUGUUGUCAGCUACCCAGCCUUUCUGUUGAAUUUUAUCUGCAGAUAUAGGCUAAAAGGAGAAAGUUUAGGUGUACUUUUUUAUUCGUCCUCUCUAUAGGCAUUUGAAAAGAUAAGGCGGGUUUUUUUUUUGGACUACUGAAUUAUUCAUAGUGUCAGUGGUGAAGCCAGGACCAUUAGCAUGCAUCAGACAUGCUGUUUGUCUGUUUGCUAACAUUCUUCAUUCAAGACUUGUUAACUACCAGACAAGCUUAACACGCUUCUCUUUUCCCCCUCCCCUUCUCUCUCUCCCUCUCUCUCUCUUUCUCUCUCUCCUUUUCAUGCCACCCCUUUAGUCUCCUAUUGUUGUUGCUGGGAGCUGGCAGCCAGGGGUAGUUGUGGCAGGGAAAGCAUGUGGACGAGAAGCUGGAACCCGUUGCUAGGAGACUGCAGAACUGCAAGGUGAACACAUUGGCAUCCUCUUUCCGUACCUGGUCCCUGAGGCUUGUUUCCCACCAUUCACAGGAAUAUUUGUUCUACCAAAUACUAUUGAUAUAUGGGGAGAAGGAGAUGCAACAGCAAAAGGUGCAGAUAAUCAUCACUCUUUGCUAAACUGGCUGUUCCGAUGGAUCUGUAACAAUGCAACACCAUGUCACAAUUUUAAUUUUGAUUUGUAUAGUUUAUGUCUGGCAAAAACUACAUUUUAAUUAGAAACACCGAUACAUUUCAUUCUUCAAACGGUGCAUGCUGUACAACUGAAGACGAAGAAACGUGUUCCGUGUGUGUUGAUACACUAUACAAUGGUAUCUGAUUUGUGCAAAAAUAUUCAUUCAGUUAUUCUGCAUGCAUACAGCUAGAUAAACUAUUGAUUGCAGCAAGAGCACUUAGACAAUGGAGUAGUACUUAUACCCAGAACCACUCUGGUAGGCACCCUCGACAUGCAUAGGUAAGUAGGUGCUGGCAAAUAGGUAGAUAUAAAAGAGCCAGGCUAGAUUUUUAAGUGCAUGUGCAAGCUUUUGCAAGCUUACAUUUGCACAAACUCUAAUACAUGUGUAAACCCCUGUUUGCUCAUGCCUGUAAUUAUGGGCCUGAUCUAAAAUCUACUGACAUCCAUUGACUUUAAUGGGAUUUAGACCAGGCCCUAUGUGCGCAAACGUCAGGAUUUAGUGUUAUUGGCAUUUGCAUGCCUGCAAGUCAAUGGGCACAAUAAAUCUGUUUAUACGCUUUGUGGGGCCCUUUUGUAAGUCUUACCUAUAUAUUAGUGUUUGUGAACAAAUCCAUGUAUGAUUUUUUUAAAUAAAGAAACCCAUGUAAACUCUGCAGCUACUCCUGCCUCCACGUAAGUCAGUAGCAAAACUCCCAGUGACUUCAGUAGGAUCAGGAUUGUGGUAAAGUACUUCAUUUAAUCAGUGAGAUAGAACAAAACUCUGAUUUUGCCUCCCUCUCCUGAUGGCCUUACUGUUGAGACUACACACGUGAAUGAGAGCUGCAGAAUCGGGCCCUUUCAUAGUUCAAUCUCUUUUAAAGUAUGUGGUUAAAUCUAAACCCUCAUUAUUUUGGGUAGUCCUUAUAAGAACCAUUAUUUUUUGAAGUUUAUUGUUACUAAUUAUUAAAUACUUACACACUCUUGCCUCUUCAGUAAAUUUGAAACUUGUUAUAUCAGACCUCUGGAAACAAAGGGUCUGAUCCAAAGCCCACUGGAAUCAAUGGAAGUUUUUCCAUUAACUUCAGUCGGUUUUGGAUCAAGCCUGUGUACGUAGCAGUUUUAAAUUACAGUGCAACCAUUAGACUGACUUUCUCUUCCCUCUCACUGUUUUCAGGAGUCUGGUGGACUUUAUUCAGGAACGUCAUUCCCAAAUAUUUCUUAAAAGACAUUGUGUGUGUAAAUUAGAUUUC
Long non-coding RNA from Chelonia mydas (Green sea turtle), 2787 nucleotides. RefSeq lists it as uncharacterized. The transcript is spliced from 4 exons. The record is from RefSeq and is a predicted model, not a curated record. Lineage: Eukaryota; Metazoa; Chordata; Testudines; Cheloniidae.